UGUGAUCUCUAUGGCUAAGGUUAACUGGUGUUAGGGUAUCCUUCUAGAAUCUAGUUUUUGAGGAAAAUAGAGAUUUGGAGAUGGGAGACUUACAAGGACAUCCUAAAUGAAGUGUUGCUGAAUCUUCUUCAAAGUGACUAUUGGUGAGGGAUCUUGUAAGAUCCAAAUAUUUUGCUUGGUCAGUCAUCAGAGGAAGAAAUAUCUUCAAGUUUCAACUUGAGGUUAAGAAUCAAACUGUAUAUCCUAAAUAGAAAUGAUGUUUGGAAGGAGGAAACGAUCAUUUGGUCACUUUUGAGUAUAGGACUUAUAAAUGAAGUUUCACUAAUUUUUUCAUGGUGAUGAUUCUUUAUUUAUUUAUUUUUAAAGGAAGGACUUUGUAAGUUCCAAAUCUUUGCUUGGUGAAUUUACACGGUGGUCUUCCUUAAUUUAACAUGGAACAAAGGGUUAGUGAUGCAGCUCCUUAGUGUUUUGGCUAUGAGUUAAUUAUGUAACAUGCUGAAAGAAUUUUUGUUAAUAAACAACAAAUAACAUCAAAUAAAAGAGGAAUGUGAGGCAAAAGAGAAGGUUCAAGGGUGGAAUUGAGGUAAAAAGAAUUUGAGUGGGCAGAAUGACAAGAAUUAAGGGAAAAAACCAGCUGAAAUGAACUAAUUUAAAUAAGGAACUAAUUUAUUUAAAUUGUGAACCACUUUUCAUGGUACUUUGUUUUUAGAUGCUAAAAUAAUUGCAAAAUGAAGUUAAUUAAUUCUAAAAGGAUGCCUAACUUACCAGUACUUAACCUUUGUUUCUAAUUUACAUAAGUUUUUCUCAAAUUAGGAUUGGUAAUCAACCUACAUCAUGACUAUUCUGAGCUACUCACUUUCCCAACAAGAAAUGACCAGACCAAAGGUUUGUUGUAUCGGUCGGUACUGUACCAUACGACACUCGGUAUGCCCCACCAUCUCGUACCGUACCGCGUACAAAUACUGUAAUAGCAUGGUACAAGUAGGGGGUCCAGUUGGCGAACCUUGAACCAGACUUUACAAAAAUGAUAAAAUCUGUAUUUUGAUAGAAACCUCUAGGGAAAGCCAUUCAGAUCACCUUAGAAUGAUAUUAGGUGGGUUCAGCUAUUUCUUUAAUACAACCUAGAUCUUAAGCAAGACAUUUUAGGUAAUUGUUCUACUUAAAGUGGGACUUAAAUCCACUAGAAAAAAACCCCUAGAAAUUAAUUUUUUUUUUCAAGUUUAUAACUUCUGUGACCUACUCUUGAAAAGCUUAAAUCCUACAACUCAAUAAAAUUAAAAAAAUAACUUGAAGUAAAGCACAAAACAUUUAAUAUUAUUGGACCUAAACCCAAUAUGAGACCUAUCAACAUUUGUUAUAUAUUUUUUUUUGGGUAUUUUUGCAAUAGUGAGAAGAUCCAUUGGUGGUGAGAAAAAAAAGCAUGAAACUUUGGCAUUUGUUGAGGCUGGCUAGGUUUCCUUUCAUCCUCUUGUAUGCAACAUGAUCUGAUUGGAUAAGGAGAAGUAGAAGGCGUUUUUGUUUCCUGAGGGCCAAGUUGGGAGUAGAGAGAUGUGGCAUCAGCAAAAGAGGAAAAGAAGUAAAAAGUGGCCGCUUCUUCCUUAUAUUUAUUUAUUGAUCCAAAAUAUUUGCUCAUAUUUCCCUUUUACCAUUAUUUUUAGUGGACAUUUGUCAUUGUGUUGGUGGGAUUGUUAUUGAUACUAUCUUUGCUGUUUGAAUUUGCGGAUGAGAGUCUUGGCCCACAAUGAAGAAUUUCCCUUUGAUAUAGGGUUGUUGCCAUGCCCAUCUUUGGAAGUUUGGUUGGUUGCAUAGUACCUACGCAAUAAGGUUGGAUUUUAGUGAUUUUCUGGUUCAAAGGUGAGUUCAAGUCAUGUGGGAGUAGUGGAGUACUAUAUACAUCAAAGUCUAUUUGUUAUCUAACUUUGCAGGAAUGCAUGUGAUUUUGAUCUUUUUAUUUUCUCAAGUCUCUAGCUUAGGUUGGAUGGGAUGCUUCAGAAGAUCAAUAGUGUCUCCUUAACAAGAAUGAAAUAUAGGAAGUUAUGCUAUAUGCAUGUAGUGGAUGCUCCACAUGGUUGUCUUGACACCUGCAGCGUGGGUGAGAUGUUUCUCUGGUAUACAUGACCCUUAUGAUGAUUAUUCUUUGUGUUAAUUUAUUAUGCAUGUCUGCUGACUGAGAUAUGAGUCAUGCUUAGCCACCAUUGACUGUGUUCUCCUUUAACCGCGUUUACCAAUUUGCAGACAUAAUAUGGUUACUGGUUGAUGCAUUGUUGCAACCUGCAUCGUUGUUGAAUUCCAUUAGCUAUGGAAGAAAGCAUGUGCUCAUGCAUUUUUAGUUCAUUCCCCAGGAUGACAAGCUGCCAUUUUCUUUUCUUUCUUUCUUUCUUUCUUUCUUUUUGGAAGGAUCAAUUCCAUGAUGCUUCAUUUUUAGUAUACAUCAUGGUCUUGGAUUGCAUGUCCAUUUAAUAUUCUUGUCUUGGUAAUCCGGUGGAGGAACUCAGUUUGACACUGAUCUUUCAUUUUUAGUUUAUCCACUCAUUUCACUGAACCAGGAGCCUGAACUUGGUCUUCACAAAUUGAGUCAGAACUAUGAUGUGUAAUAAAAUCUUAGCUAGCAAAGAAAAUCAAUUGGCUUGCUUCAUGCUUCAUGUCAAGCUUUUCUACCUACUUGAUCUUAUCUUCCUGUCUAUUAAGUUGUUCACAAAUUUGUUUGCUUUCUCCUGGCCGCAACUUCAGUCUUUGUUGAACAUGCCAUUUCAUUUGGCUUUCCAUCAUCAUCUAUAUCAUCAUAUUUUUUGCUUCUGUAAAAGUUCAUAUUAAUUUCACUUGUGUGCAGCAAUUGCCUUACUCUUGAUAAACACAUAUCCAUGUCACCCAAUCCCACUGUUUAUGCAUUCAUCAAUCUUUUAUUAUUCUGCAAUAUGUAUGCAGCACAAGAAAACUCGGUGCCAGGAGAUUUGCUAGCCACGAACUUAUUGAUGCCUUGUUGCAGUUGUCCACAUGCACUAUGGUUAUUAUUACUAUUGCUUCUUUUUUGGCAAAAAAUGUAUUACAAGAAUGCAUUUCCUAUUUACUUCUACUCAUGUUUGUCUUAUUGAAUGAUAUACCAUCCUCUGUAAGUUACACGUCCCACUUAUGCCUGCCAAAUGUUCGAUUAUAUAGUGUAGGAGAGGAGGGCUUAAGCUCGCCCUUGGUUUAGGCCUAUCACUGUUGGAAAUUUUUUGCUCUCAUGACAAGUUUUUUACAAAGACAUUACUCCCACUGUCUUAUCUACAUGCAUAUUGGCAUAUAAAUGUUCACCAGAUCACUUCUGGCAUUACGUUAAUAUAUGUUUUUAUAUUCAGUGAGAGCCAUGUGCUUAUCUUUUUCUUUGCCUUUAGCUCUUUGCAUAAAUUGCAAACGUAUGAUGUCCAGGUGUCGUUGGUCCUUUUAACUUGUGUUGGUUUGAUGUUUGUUACCCUAAAGCAUCUAAUCCUUCUUAUUGGAUCACUUCAAAGUUUAAACACUUUGAUCUUUUUGAUAGAAGAUACAUAUUGACACAUUUUAUUUAUCUUCAGAGACUGCGGUUGUCUGGAAAAUUUCGCAUUUUUUCAUAAAAAGGUCUGUAAAUAUCAUUGCCUGUUGUUGUUCAGUCUUUAGUGGUAGGGCUAUGCUUGGAGAGAAACCAUAUAUAAGAAUUCCAUUAAUCGUUUAGUAAUAAAAAGAAAGAUAACAAUAUUAUGUGCAGAAAAAAGAAAAAAAUUAUGAACUAUAUUGAUACAAAUUAUUUGAAUAGUUUAGAUAUCUAGUCUCGAAAAUAAAUCUGCCAUGAACCAUGUUGUACUAAUAAUUCAAUUGAUAUAAUGAUUACUUCGAUGACCUUUGAAGUACUGAACUAAUUAAGAAAAAAAAGUGGAAACUGAGGAUUUCUUUCAUUGUAUUUCAGGUUGUCCACAGGUCAUCAACAAAAUAUUAAUUUCCCUGACUAGAUUCCUUCAUCCAUUAACUCCUUCCAGCCAAGACUCUGAGCCAACUACAUCUCCAUUCUGAAAUAUAUUUUCUUCUGCACAAAACAUUAACCAACGUUCCAAACUACCUUAGACCAUCAGAAAAGUGAGGUUUGCAGAUUUUUAUGAACCCUCAUUUCAGUGAAAAUCUUAAGAACAUGUAGGUAUCCCUUUUUUCCAUUAAUUCUAUUUUUUUUAUAACAAAGCAAGGCAAACUCAUAUCUCAGACAUGUUUACUCCAGUGCUAAGCAUUAAUUAAGUGGAACAAUAUUGAUAAUGCAGACCUUAGUGAUCUUUUCACCCAACUAACCCUCAAUGAUCUCUGAAGCUCCAUGUACCUCUUUUUUUAACAAUUACUAUUAACAGUGAAUUAGAGCGUAACUUUGUUUAAUAUGGGUUCAAUCGUUGCAUUUAUUAAUUUGUUUUUCUCUAUUUUUACUUCUUUAUUAAAAUAUUUAUUUGGAGAAUCUCUUAUAAACAAAAUAUAUAGUUUCUGGAAGGAAUGGUGUUUCUCUUAAUAUGGUUAAGAAGUGUCAACUCAAUGGCUCCAGAUGUUCUUACACUGGAUUAUUUCAGAUCUCAAUGCUGCUUCAGAUAAUCAGUUGUGGUGCUUCUCGGAGACCCUUUAGAUUUGUUAUAUUUUCAUACAUUUCACUACCAAGAUUAGAUUGUGUUGACUAACACGCGCGUUUAUAGGUGAUUAAUGUAUAUGUUGCUUUCACACUAACCGCUUCUCUGAAAAGCCUUCACGGUGAGGUGUUUGGUUUAAGUUGGCCUAUGUAUCUUCCUAACUUAUGGUUAGAUCAUCAGAUAAGUUUCUUUUCUCAUCUUAGGCUGCUCUAAAAUUUGCAUAGUCUUAGCUUUGGCAGUGUUAAACUGCUUUACAAUAGGUUAAUUUUUCCUUUGGAACAAAAAUCUCUAGGAGUUGGCCAAAUCCUUUUGCUGUUGCAUCACAUAUUAACUUCCAAAAGAUUCCAGUUUUAGAUUUUCCAGCCCUAUAUUCUCUCUCUUUUCUAUGGGGAAAAUCAGGUGAGCAAUUUGUUUCAAUCAGGGUUAUAUGGUCAACAAUCAUUCAUAGGUUAACUUCUAUGAAAGGGUAGGUUGUUUUGAUAUCAUUUUUGAUGGUUAUCAACUGAAAUAAAUUAUUUUGCAGGCAUUUUAUUGGCUUAUUGGGUCAUAGAGAGACAAGGAUUUGAAAUCUUGAGUUUUCCAUCAAAAUCAUUGAGUAUGAGCAGCUGCAAUCUUGUCCAUAUUGAGCCAAAUAUUGUAACAGUAUCAUGAUGCUCCUUGAAACAGAGGCUAUGUUUUCUCGGCGACUUCGACCACUCUUUCCACAGCAAAGCUUGCCAAAGCAUCGAUUUGGCAUCAUUCUGGGGAUUGUAGGAUCCUUAGAUUUAGCUUCUCUGUGUAAACUGCAAAAUGUUUGGUGUUCAUGCCAAAGAGCAUUGGUGACAUGAUGAUCCAGGGAUAAGCUAGUAGGUCAUAGUGACGCAUAUAAUGGAGAUGCUGAGUUAUCCAUUUGUUAUCAUUACUGUCUUAAGAUUCCUUAUUUUUUAUUUAAAGCCGGGAUGAUUGUUUUUUUAUCCAAGGCCUAUUUCUGAAUUUUGAGCCAGACAAGUUCUCUUCCUAUCA
Molecule: non-coding RNA, 5612 nt
Organism: Phoenix dactylifera (date palm)
Lineage: Eukaryota; Viridiplantae; Streptophyta; Magnoliopsida; Arecales; Arecaceae
Source: RefSeq, a predicted model, not a curated record